RNAcentral lists this ribosomal RNA (475 nucleotides) under Ceracris kiangsu (yellow-spined bamboo locust). RNAcentral describes it as "partial 16S ribosomal RNA". It matches the Rfam family "Archaeal large subunit ribosomal RNA", at positions 1900 to 2625 of the family's 2987-position model. Lineage: Eukaryota; Metazoa; Arthropoda; Insecta; Orthoptera; Acrididae. The record is from RNAcentral.
CAAAAACAUGUCCUCUUGAUUAUAUUUUGAGGUCUGGCCUGCUCACUGAUAAAUUUAAAGAGCCGCGGUAUUUUGACCGUGCAAAGGUAGCAUAAUCAUUAGUCUUUUAAUUAAGGGCUGGAAUGAAUGGCUUGACGAGAAAUUAACUGUCUCUUAAUAAUUUAUAAAAUUUAACUUUUGAGUCAAAAGGCUUAAAUUUUUCUUUAGGACGAGAAGACCCUAUAGAGCUUAACAUAUAAUUUAUAUUUAUACAUUAGAUGGUUUUUAUAUAUUUAAUGAUAAUGUUUUGUUGGGGUGACAUGAAGAAUUAAUAAACUCUUCAUUAUAAAAUCAUUAAUUUAUGUUUAUUUUUGAUCCAUAAUUUAUGAUCAUAAGAUUAAGUUACCUUAGGGAUAACAGCGUAAUUGUUUUUGAGAGCUCAAAUCAACAAAGCAGAUUGCGACCUCGAUGUUGGAUUAAGAAAAAUUUUGGGUGC